RNAcentral lists this ribosomal RNA (253 nucleotides) under uncultured bacterium. RNAcentral's name for it is "partial 16S ribosomal RNA". It matches the Rfam family "Bacterial small subunit ribosomal RNA", at positions 524 to 776 of the family's 1533-position model. The record is from RNAcentral.
UACGUAGGCAGCAAGCGUUGUUCGGAAUUACUGGGCGUAAAGAGUGUGUAGGCGGUGCUCUAAGUCUGGUGUGAAAUCUCCCGGCUUAACUGGGAGGGUGCGCUAGAAACUGGAGUGCUAGAGGAUGGGAGAGGUAAGCGGAAUUCCUGGUGUAGCGGUGAAAUGCGUAGAGAUCGGGAGGAACACCUGUGGCGAAGGCGGCCGACUGGGCCGACCCUGACGCUGAGGCGCGAAGGCGUGGGGAGCAAACAGG